GUGGGGAAUCUUGCGCAAUGGGCGAAAGCCUGACGCAGCAACGCCGCGUGCGGGAUGAAGGCCUUCGGGUUGUAAACCGCUUUCAGGAGGGACGAAAUUGACGGUACCUCCAGAAGAAGCCCCGGCCAACUACGUGCCAGCAGCCGCGGUAACACGUAGGGGGCAAGCGUUGUCCGGAUUUAUUGGGCGUAAAGAGCUCGUAGGCGGCUUAGUAAGUCGGGUGUGAAACCUCCAGGCUCAACCUGGAGACGCCACCCGAUACUGCUGUGGCUAGAGUCCGGUAGGGGAGCGUGGAAUUCCUGGUGUAGCGGUGAAAUGCGCAGAUAUCAGGAGGAACACCAGCGGCGAAGGCGGCGCUCUGGGCCGGUACUGACGCUGAGGAGCGAAAGCGUGGGGAGCAAACAGGAUUAGAAACCCCAGUAGUCC
Molecule: ribosomal RNA, 426 nt
Filed under: uncultured bacterium
Lineage: Bacteria
Description: bacterial SSU rRNA
Rfam family: Bacterial small subunit ribosomal RNA
Source: RNAcentral